Molecule: long non-coding RNA, 1082 nt
Organism: Biomphalaria glabrata
Lineage: Eukaryota; Metazoa; Mollusca; Gastropoda; Planorbidae
Exons: 4
Source: RefSeq, a predicted model, not a curated record
AUUAUUAAUGCAAUGGGCUUGAAUGGGUAAUUUAUCAUGAAGAAUAAUCUUUUGAAAAGAAAACCCUAAAUUCUGUUUCAUUUUGACCGGGGCUGCUCUGUCUAAUUGUAAACCAUGUGGCGGCCAUGUUCAUGAUUUAAUGUAACAAUAAAUUAUCUUUUUCCUCUAAAUCUAGAUUAUCAGUUCAAAAUCUUCUACUCGACGUCUAUAUCUAUAAAUCCUUUAUAACUAGUUCAGUCCUAGUCUAAAAACCAAUGUUACGACUCAAUUCAAUAAUUCAUGUUGAUGGGUCUAGACUGAAUCGAUUUAAGAUAAUUUAUCUUAUCGUAAUUACUAAUUUUAUUAGAUUUAUUUAAAUAGAACUAAUAAUUUAAAAUUUAGAUAGAUCUAUCUAGACUAGUUACUAGAUCUAUAGAAAUUCUCAAUCAAGAUUAUCUAAAUCUAUAUAGAUCAAGAAGAAGAACAGUUUAAAGAAAAUAAUACCAGUGUUAUGCUCCUUUCACCAUUGAGUUCCAGGAUGAAGAAUGAAAGACAGAGAGCAAUGUGAAGACAUCAAAGAAUGUGCAGGUCUGCCAUGAAAUGGUUUAUCCAGGGCUAAGUAAAGAGAGGAAUAUAGAAGGGCUGUUGACUGAUCUUGUGUGGUGCCCCCAUGGCUCAACAGACUGAUUGAUAGAAAAUAAUACCAGGGUUAUGUUCCUUUCACUGUUGAGUUCCUGGAUGAAGAAUGAAAGACAGAGAGCAAUGUGAAGACAUCAAAGAAUGUGCAGGUCUGCCAUGAAAUGGUUUAUCCAGGGCUAAGUACAGAGAGGAAUAUAGAAGGGCUGUUGACAGAUCUUGUGUGGUGCCCCCAUGGUUCAAAAGACUGAUUGAUAAGUAAUGAAAAUAAUACCAGGGUAAUGGUCCUUUCACUGUUGAGUUCCAGGAUGAAGAAUGAGAAAGACAGUGAGCAAUGUGAAGACAUCAAAGAAUGUGCAGGUCUAUUAUGAAAUGGUUUAUCCAGGGCUAAGUACAGAGAGGAAUAUAGAAGGGCUGUUGACAGAUCUUGUGUGGUGCCCCCAUGGUUCAACAGACUGAUUGAUAGG